GAUGNGGGGCAGGCCUACANUGCAAGUCGAGCGGAUGAGAGGAGCUUGCUCCCUGAUUUAGCGGCGGACGGGUGAGUAAUGCCUAGGAAUCUGCCUGGUAGUGGGGGAUAACGUUCCGAAAGGAACGCUAAUACCGCAUACGUCCUACGGGAGAAAGCAGGGGACCUUCGGGCCUUGCGCUAUCAGAUGAGCCUAGGUCGGAUUAGCUAGUUGGUGAGGUAAUGGCUCACCAAGGCGACGAUCCGUAACUGGUCUGAGAGGAUGAUCAGUCACACUGGAACUGAGACACGGUCCAGACUCCUACGGGAGGCAGCAGUGGGGAAUAUUGGACAAUGGGCGAAAGCCUGAUCCAGCCAUGCCGCGUGUGUGAAGAAGGUCUUCGGAUUGUAAAGCACUUUAAGUUGGGAGGAAGGGCAUUAACCUANUACNUUAUUGUUUUG
This 440-nucleotide ribosomal RNA is filed under the name Ectopseudomonas alcaliphila. Its description in RNAcentral is "bacterial SSU rRNA". It matches the Rfam family "Bacterial small subunit ribosomal RNA", at positions 39 to 471 of the family's 1533-position model. The record is from RNAcentral. Lineage: Bacteria; Pseudomonadati; Pseudomonadota; Gammaproteobacteria; Pseudomonadales; Pseudomonadaceae.